This 494-nucleotide ribosomal RNA is filed under the name uncultured bacterium. RNAcentral describes it as "partial 16S ribosomal RNA". It matches the Rfam family "Bacterial small subunit ribosomal RNA", at positions 28 to 507 of the family's 1533-position model. The record is from RNAcentral.
GACGAACGCUGGCGGCGUGCUUAACACAUGCAAGUCGAACGGAAAGGCCUGCUUUCCCUUGUGGAUUGCGGGUACUCGAGUGGCGAACGGGUGAGUAACACGUGAGUGAUCUGCCCCCAACUUGGGUAUAAGCCUGGGAAACUGGGUCUAAUUCCCGAUAGGACUGCAGGGUGGUGCCUGUGGUGGAACACGAUUUUCUAGUGGUUGGGGAUGAGCUCGCGGCCUAUCAGCUUGUUGGUGGGGUAAUGGCCUACCAAGGCGGCGACGGGUAGCCGGCCUGAGAGGGGGGACGGUGACAUUGGGACUGAGACACGGCCCAGACGCAUACGGGAGGCAGCAGUGGGGAAUAGUGGACAAUGGGCGGAAGCCAGAUGCAGCGACGCGGCGUGGAGGAUGACGGGCUUGGGGUGGUAAACUCCUUGGGAAGGCGAGGAAGCGACCUGGUUGGAAGGGUGGUGACGGUAGUGGUAGAAGAAGCACCGGCUAACUACGUG